This 404-nucleotide ribosomal RNA is filed under the name uncultured Eubacteriales bacterium. RNAcentral's name for it is "bacterial SSU rRNA". It matches the Rfam family "Bacterial small subunit ribosomal RNA", at positions 355 to 774 of the family's 1533-position model. Lineage: Bacteria; Bacillati; Bacillota; Clostridia; Eubacteriales. The record is from RNAcentral.
UGAGGAAUAUUGCACAAUGGGCGAAAGCCUGAUGCAGCAACGCCGCGUGAGCGAAGAAGGCCUUUGGGUCGUAAAGCUCUGUCCUUGGGGAAGAAAAAAAUGACGGUACCCUUGGAGGAAGCCCCGGCUAACUACGUGCCAGCAGCCGCGGUAAUACGUAGGGGGCGAGCGUUAUCCGGAAUUAUUGGGCGUAAAGAGUGCGUAGGUGGUCUUGUAAGCGUGGGGUGAAAGGCAGUGGCUUAACCAUUGUUAGCCUUGCGAACUGUGAGACUUGAGUGCAGGAGAGGAAAGUGGAAUUCCUAGUGUAGCGGUGAAAUGCGUAGAUAUUAGGAGGAACAUCAGUGGCGAAGGCGACUUUCUGGACUGUAACUGACACUGAGGCACGAAAGCGUGGGGAGCAAACA